GACGAACGCUGGCGGCGUGCUUAACACAUGCAAGUCGAACGAAGAGCGACGGAAGCUUGCUUCUAUCAAUCUUAGUGGCGAACGGGUGAGUAACGCGUAAUCAACCUGCCCUUCAGAUGGGGACAACAGUUGGAAACGACUGCUAAUACCGCAUAUGAUCUAACCUCGGCAUCGAGGAUAGAUGAAAGGUGGCCUCUACAUGUAAGCUAUCACUGCAGGAUGGGAUUGCGUCUGAUUAGCAAGUUGGCGGGGUAACGGCUAACCAAGGCGAUGAUCAGUAGCCCGUCUGAGAGGAGGUACGGAGACAGCGGGAGUGAGACGAGGCCCACAAGCCUACGGAGGGCAGCAGUUGACAACUAUCCGAAAUAGACGUGAGGAAGAUGGUGCAACGGGGGCAAAGCGAAGACGGCAGUUCUGUUGUAACGAACAGGGUAUCCGGAUGAAAGAGUGCCUUCAGAAGAGUAGGAAGGAGUGACGGUACCGGAAGAAGAAGCCACGGCUAACUACGUG
RNAcentral lists this ribosomal RNA (510 nucleotides) under uncultured bacterium. RNAcentral describes it as "partial 16S ribosomal RNA". It matches the Rfam family "Bacterial small subunit ribosomal RNA", at positions 28 to 507 of the family's 1533-position model. The record is from RNAcentral.